CUGCUUUCUUUGGCAUUACAUGUACUAAAAUUGGAAUGAGGCAAAGAUUAGCAUGUCCCCUGCUGAAGGAUGACACACAAAUUGGGGAAGUGUUCCUACUUAAA
Peromyscus maniculatus bairdii (prairie deer mouse) is the source of this 104-nucleotide small nuclear RNA. The record is from Ensembl. Lineage: Eukaryota; Metazoa; Chordata; Mammalia; Rodentia; Cricetidae.